Molecule: non-coding RNA, 943 nt
Organism: Heterocephalus glaber (naked mole-rat)
Lineage: Eukaryota; Metazoa; Chordata; Mammalia; Rodentia; Bathyergidae
Source: RefSeq, a predicted model, not a curated record
UGCUUUAAUUGAAGCCUUUAAGAACUCAGUAUAAGCUCCUAACACUUAUGGAGGUGCUGAGCCUGAGCUUCCUGAGUUUCCUAUCACUCCUGCUGCAGGUGAAACUUUGAGAUGCUUCCAUGGUGUUAUCAAAUUACCUUGGGGCAGAAGCUCUCAAACUCCUGCCUGCAGAAUCACCUGGAGGGAGGGUUAAGACAGUGUUGAGCUCUUCCUCAAGAGUGUCUGUUCAGUAAGGCUGGGGUAGAGGCUGAGGAUUUGCAAGUUGAACAGCUCCCAAGAGAUGCGCUGCUGCUGGAAUUGGGACUUCUGAGGUCCUCUGUCUCAAGGAGCUGUCCUCAAGUAGUGAAAGGCAGUGCUUGACUCCUGGUGAAACUAGCUUAUGAAGAGACUGGCUCCAAGCAAAGGUCUCUGGACUUCUUGAUGCCAUUGGGUUCUAGGAAACUCGUGGGAAGUGACCCAUCUGGCCCUGUGCAGCAAAGAAGUUCCUCAUGAGGCAGAGGAGAACCAAGAAGAAAUGAUGGGUUAAAAGUGAAAUGAAUGAAAAGUAAAGACUUUCAAGAAAGGAGUCAUUACCUCUGUCAUGUGCUGCUGAUAUGACUUGGCUGAGCUCCAUGAAAAACAUUGUGACCUCAAUACAAACUCUCUGUGUGGUUGAUGUGAGUCCAAAGACAACAGGGAGAGAAGUGGAGUCGCCAAUGAAGACAACUUUUUGAAGCAGGUUUGUUGAUUGGCUGUUUUAACACCAAGUGAAUUGCAAAGUAGACUUUUAUGAGAAAGGAACAGCUUUGUUUGAGAAUUCGAUAUAAUUAUUUUUGAGGCUGUAUAAGUUGAUCCCAUAUAUGAAACACUUGGGACCAGACAUGUUUAGGAUUUCCGAUUUAGGAAUAUUUACAUAUACAUAAUACCUUGGCUAUACACCAAUUUUAGUGCGGCUGUUUUUUAC